UAGUGUGUUUUUGCCAUCCCAGGACGUGGACCUUCUGAACCCAGUUUGAGUCUGCCCUCAGCAACACGCGGGUCGCAGCAGCGGCAUCUGGAAGGCCUGGAAGGUGCGGCAGUGCUUUUCCAUGGCUGAGGAGCAGAGGGCCUGGUGCCGUGUUCUGCCGAGAGUCCCUGGUACCUUCCUCUUCCUGGUGUUCUUCCCCACAAUGGCCAAGGUGACGGGCCCAUCAUACAAUGCUUUGAUGGUACUCUGCUCUUUGAACUGCAUGAGUUUCUGUCAAGAAUGGAAGGCCAAUGUCAGGUUUCUCUUGGCUGGACCGCACUGCCCUCUCUCCGGCCGACCCUAUGGAUUGCCACAGGCAGGAGCGGACAGGAGUGAGGGGCGCUACUAUAGUCAGAAAUGAAGGUCUUUGGGGCCAGUCCCUGCAGUAACCUGUGCUUUAGAGUCCCCUCCUCCGUUGAAGUCACUGUCUUCUGUGACUUUAUCAGUUAUUUUGGCCAGUUAUCUUUUCAGUAGGUAACUUUUGGUGUAUUACUGGUUCAUACAAGAAAAUUAUUAUUUGGGGGCACCUGGGUGGCUCA
Molecule: long non-coding RNA, 578 nt
Organism: Lontra canadensis (Northern American river otter)
Lineage: Eukaryota; Metazoa; Chordata; Mammalia; Carnivora; Mustelidae
Exons: 3
Source: RefSeq, a predicted model, not a curated record